AGUAACGCGUAGGUAAUCUACCCUUAUAUUUGGGAUAACAUCGGGAAACUGGUGCUAAUACCGAAUGGUCUUCUUUGCUGCGGGGCGAAGGAGUAAAGGUGGCCUCUUCAUGAAAGCUACCGUGUAGGGAUGAGCUUGCGUACCAUUGGCUAGUAGGUGGGGUAAUGGCCCACCUAGGCUACGAUGGUUAGCGGGUCUGAGAGGAUGAUCCGCCACACUGGAACUGGAACACGGACCAG
RNAcentral lists this ribosomal RNA (239 nucleotides) under uncultured bacterium. RNAcentral describes it as "partial 16S ribosomal RNA". It matches the Rfam family "Bacterial small subunit ribosomal RNA", at positions 109 to 334 of the family's 1533-position model. The record is from RNAcentral.